RNAcentral lists this long non-coding RNA (755 nucleotides) under Homo sapiens (human). RNAcentral describes it as "HSALNT0361495". The record is from RNAcentral. Lineage: Eukaryota; Metazoa; Chordata; Mammalia; Primates; Hominidae.
CCCGCCCCUCGCAGCCUUGCCGCGCCCCGUGCGCCCUGUCCGCCCCUCGCUCGCAUUGCAGGCAUCCUGAGUCUCGGCCCUUUUCGCCAAAUCGCUGCUCUGCCGCGCGCCUACGCAAGGAAAGAUUCAAGGGUCCCUCCACUUCAGGGAGUGGAGCCCGCGCCUCGGCACGGAUCAGCUGUGCGUCUCCUUUGGCCUACUGGCUCCUCUGCUUGUGUCUAUAGCUAGCUGGACGCAUCGUGACUUUAUCUUCUCAUCUUUCCUGGCGCCCCCAGACGCAUUUCCUGGUCCCUCGAGGCAGCGGCGUCUGGGGAGUGCACUUUGCACAGACAGGGAAACCGAGGCACUCAGCGGUCUCCAAUGGAGACGCUGUAAUCGCAUUCCACGACCAGCUAGCGCUAUAAGCGCUGCCUCUAAAGCGGAAGGCCUCCCAGUCCUUCUCGACAGGAAGCAAUAUUUGCAUAUCUAAGGAGAACAAGAUUCGGCAAUGUGCUCCGGGAGCAAGUGCAGGCAUGGAACGGUAUGGGCUGGAGGGGGACAGACCUUCAGAGGCGGCUGCCCGUUCCCUGUAGUGUCACAUAAGAUUUUUAGAAGAUAGGAGUUUUCACAGUGGCGGCAGAGCCCUCUGCUAAAUCCUCAUAUUAGAUGUCAAAGGUGGCAUGUCAUUUGACCCAAUGGCUUUUUUAGUCAUUUAUCUUCCUAACACCUAUGAGAGGGCUACAGUUACCAAAAUGGCAUGGUACUGGUACAUAAAC